Molecule: ribosomal RNA, 253 nt
Filed under: uncultured bacterium
Lineage: Bacteria
Description: partial 16S ribosomal RNA
Rfam family: Bacterial small subunit ribosomal RNA
Source: RNAcentral
UACAGAGGGGGCAAGCGUUGUUCGGAAUUACUGGGCGUAAAGGGCGCGUAGGCGGCCUGUUAAGUCGAACGUGAAAUCCCCGGGCUCAACCCGGGAACUGCGUCCGAUACUGGCAGGCUUGAAUCCGGGAGAGGGAUGCGGAAUUCCAGGUGUAGCGGUGAAAUGCGUAGAUAUCUGGAGGAACACCGGUGGCGAAGGCGAGUCCCUGGGCAGGUCCUGACGCUGAGGCACGAAAGCUAGGGGAGCAAACAGG